Coregonus clupeaformis (lake whitefish) is the source of this 379-nucleotide long non-coding RNA. RefSeq lists it as uncharacterized. Lineage: Eukaryota; Metazoa; Chordata; Actinopteri; Salmoniformes; Salmonidae. The transcript is spliced from 4 exons. The record is from RefSeq and is a predicted model, not a curated record.
CAGGGGUGUAAUCUAUAUCUAUAUGUAAAUCCUGUAAUCAUUAUAACAAACAAACGGAAAACUACAGUUUCUAUUGGACAUAUUCAGGUGACGUCGGUUGAUCUCGUAGAUGAUCUCCAGGUGUCUGGGCAGAAGGUUAUGGAGCAGGUCGGUGGGCCAGCGCUCCAGGGCCUCAGGCAGGACGGUGUGGUUGGUGUAGGCACAGCAGGGGGACCAGCACUAUACCUUCUCCCAUGUCUGGUGCUCCGUGUCCAACAAGAUCCUCAUCAGCUCAGGGAUGGCCAUGGCAGGGUAGGGUGGAAAGGUCAACGCGCACAACCUCAGUGGAGCCGAACUUGGAGGACUUGAAGCGACGGACGAUGUCCUGCAGAGUGGCUGC